UUGCUUUGGCAGCACAUGCACUAAAACUGGAAUGGUGUAGGGAAGAUUAGCAUGGCCCCUGUACACAGAUGACACACAAAUUCACGAAGCAGUCCUUAUUUUU
This is a small nuclear RNA of Heterocephalus glaber (naked mole-rat), 103 nucleotides long. The record is from Ensembl. Lineage: Eukaryota; Metazoa; Chordata; Mammalia; Rodentia; Bathyergidae.